CCAGCAAAGGGGAACAGGCCGA
RNAcentral lists this microRNA (22 nucleotides) under Dinoponera quadriceps. RNAcentral's name for it is "dqu-miR-316-3p". Its record names the gene dqu-miR-316-3p. The record is from miRBase by way of RNAcentral. Lineage: Eukaryota; Metazoa; Arthropoda; Insecta; Hymenoptera; Formicidae.